This 410-nucleotide ribosomal RNA is filed under the name uncultured bacterium. RNAcentral's name for it is "bacterial SSU rRNA". It matches the Rfam family "Bacterial small subunit ribosomal RNA", at positions 28 to 420 of the family's 1533-position model. The record is from RNAcentral.
GAUGAACGCUGGCGGCGUGCUUAACACAUGCAAGUCGAACGAAGCACUUUACCGGAUUUCUUCGGAAUGAAAGUUUUGUGACUGAGUGGCGGACGGGUGAGUAACGCGUGGGUAACCCGCCUCAUACAGGGGGAUAACAGUUAGAAAUGACUGCUAAUACCGCAUAAGACCACAGGACCGCAUGGUGCGGUGGUAAAAACUCCGGUGGUAUGAGAUGGACCCGCGUCUGAUUAGCUAGUUGGUAAGGUAACGGCUUACCAAGGCGACGAUCAGUAGCCGACCUGAGAGGGUGACCGGCCACAUUGGGAYUGAGACACGGCCCAAACUCCUACGGGAGGCAGCAGUGGGGAAUAUUGCACAAUGGGGGAAACCCUGAUGCAGCGACGCCGCGUGAGCGAUGAAGUAUUUCG